AUUGAACGCUGGCGGCAUGCCUUACACAUGCAAGUCGAACGGCAGCACGGGAGCAAUCCUGGUGGCGAGUGGCGAACGGGUGAGUAAUAUAUCGGAACGUGCCCAGUCGUGGGGGAUAACGUAGCGAAAGCUACGCUAAUACCGCAUACGAUCUAUGGAUGAAAGCGGGGGAUCGCAAGACCUCGCGCGAUUGGAGCGGCCGAUAUCAGAUUAGGUAGUUGGUGGGGUAAAAGCCUACCAAGCCUUCGAUCUGUAGCUGGUCUGAGAGGACGACCAGCCACACUGGAACUGAGACACGGUCCAGACUCCUACGGGAGGCAGCAGUGGGGAAUUUUGGACAAUGGGCGCAAGCCUGAUCCAGCAAUGCCGCGUGCAGGAUGAAGGCCUUCGGGUUGUAAACUGCUUUUGUACGGAACGAAACGGCUCUUUCUAAUAAAGGGAGCUAAUGACGGUACCGUAAGAAUAAGCACCGGCUAACUACGUG
Molecule: ribosomal RNA, 484 nt
Filed under: uncultured bacterium
Lineage: Bacteria
Description: bacterial SSU rRNA
Rfam family: Bacterial small subunit ribosomal RNA
Source: RNAcentral